Molecule: long non-coding RNA, 819 nt
Filed under: Citrus maxima (pomelo)
Lineage: Eukaryota; Viridiplantae; Streptophyta; Magnoliopsida; Sapindales; Rutaceae
Description: long non-coding RNA (CMAX_LNC000995)
Source: RNAcentral
CAAAUUAUAUAUAUAUAAACUUCAUGCAGAAUGAGGUUCUUGAUGUCGCGUUAUUUAAUAUAUUAGUUUUUUCACUCCUUUGUAAAUAUUCACACAAACAUAUACAAUAAUUUAGCUGAUCCGAUCAAACAUCCUUAGUUUUUUCACUCCUUUGUAAAUAUUCACACAUAUACAAUAAUUUAGCUGAUCCGAUCAAACAUCCUGGACCCACCGCUGAUGUUAGGAAGCUUCUGCAUAAGCUGUGGUUAGUGUCUUAGUGAUAUCCCGCCAACAACCUGCCAGCAAAAGAUAAACUAAUGUCAGGUCAUGAUCAAGAAAAAUUUGCUAAUGUCAGCAGAAGAAGUCAUAACCAUGCAUAUAUGAAGCACUUUCAAAGAGUAGAUCUAACAGUGUCUGGUUUUCAUUUUUGGAGUUUUUUACCAAUGACUGGAGAGUAGAGAACAACACAUGAUCCCCGUUACAGUAUUGUUGCUUGAAUUUAUAGGCUUCAUCAAUCAGUACCUUCAAAUCCAUAUAUAAUGAGAUGGAAGAAUGAAUUUAAAUUUAUUAAUGUCAUUUCCGAGUUUUAAAAUGAUAAAGCAAGUUGCAACUGAUUCAUUGAAAUUUAAAACAUUCAUAAUGAAGUGCAAGAGCAAAAUAAAAGUUAGGAGCUUUACCUUCAGCAUAACAAGGAGUCUGCUGGAUCAGGCCCACUUUAUCUGCCGCUAUAGACCACCACCUCUUCAUCUUCAGCCUUCUCAAUAACACGGUCUCUUGUUUCUUCAUUUGAUUCUUCGACCACUACAGCUUCACCUUCAACAUUCUCAGUAGGCUCUGAUG